GCAAUUUCUACACACCAUGGAGAUCGGAGUGCGCAUCCUCUUGGCUUUCCUCCUCCACCAGGGCACAGGCUGCAGCAUGGCAGCCGUCCAGACACCGGCAUUAACAUCCCAUCUCGGGGCCAGAGACACCGGGAAGGUCAGCGGAGUGUGUGUGUGUGUGAGAUAGGUGUGGGGGGGGAAGGGGGGGCGGGGGCCAUUAACUACUCUGUUGCAAUGAUUGCCAUACAGCAGCACUGCAGUAUUCAAUGUUUACCACUGUGUAAGAUGGGAGUGAACUGCGGUAAAAUUGAUUACUUUCAUCCUGUAAGAAGGAUGUACAAACACUGUUUGUGUUUUGAAUAUUAAAGUUUGCUUUGUAUGCGAGGUGGGGAGAAGAUUAUUCGGACUAACUUGGAUUGGAAAACUUAUCAAGGACAUUACAGUGAAGGAGAAAAUUGCCGUAAAAAGCACUCUUCAUUGCAUUCAUUGGUAUUUCACAGAGUUGUGUUACAAUUGAGCUUAAACAGGAAAUAUAUGUAUCUCCAUUGAACUGAAAUGUGCAUAUAAGAAAAUAUUUUAAAGACAUUACCAUCUUCAUUUGAUCUAGAAAAAUGCAGUUUUUAGUUUACUUCUGUUAACUCAUACAAGGGAGCUGUGCCUGUACAGUACAGAGGGAACGAGUAACAGAGCACAUAAUGUAGGGUAUGAAUAUUUUAAGAGUUGUGCAUUCAUCAUACUUUGUUAAUACAACAACCUAUUCAGCAGCAAAUUGGAAGAUGAGUGGGCGACACUUCUGAAAGCUUUCCUCCCCUCAUGUUGGAGCUCUUGCACAAAACCAGCAGCAUUCAUUAUUGCUCAGUCAUUUUUAUGGCACAGCCCUGCCAUCAGCAAAAGACAAAUUCUGAAAAGCUCACGAGUUGUCGUUAAAUCAAACACUUAUGGAUUAUUCAUUAAAAAGUAGCAAACGGAAGACGUUUAUAAAGUGCCACCUCCCAACCUUUUGGCAGUGAAUCUAGAGCCCACUUUGUAAACACUCACAGUACGCGAGCUCCACCUCAGGAUAUUGAUCCAAGGACACAUUAGAUCUCUAAAUACUUUUCAGAAUUAUUUUUGCAUGUUUUUCACGCUUACAAAGGAUUAAAGGCAAAUUUGUAGAUGUGUUUUUAUUUUUUUUUGUAAUACGUCAGUUAUCUUUACUCUUGGGACUUUGAAGCAAAUUUUGCCUCAUGUUUUAACUACCCUGGAAACCAUCAAAUUCCCUCAGCAAACUUCACAGUCAUUAGAAAUGGGUGCAGGAUUACGGGGGGAUGGCAGAAACAUUCAAAUGAAUUGUUUUAUACUUGCAUAAAGAGAGACUCUCCCAACAUAUUGUAGUAGGCCGUGUUUGUAAAGUAGCCUGCAGAGGACCAACACUACAGUGAGGGCCGUUUGCAUUGUGACGUCACCUUAAAGGCACCACAGUUCUCGGACAUGCUUAGAGUUGAAAUUUGCCAGAUGACCUUAAAUCCUCACACACUGCUCCUUUAAAUGGGAAUGCAAUGCAAUAUAAGAUUGAAUUACUUAUUCAAACAGUGUUUUUGCACACACUGUUUUGUCCACAAGCAAGGACAGAAAUAGCUGCCUCUUUUCGUUUCAUGGGAAACUAUUUCCAUAAUUUUGCCUCCGGGCUAAUUGCAUAAUCUAAUCAUCUAUACAGCCGUGUCUAGCGUAAUACAUAAUUGGUUUUGAGAGCUUUCCUCAAAAGGGAAAUUAACAUGAAGAGAUAUUGGUGUAGUCUCCUUGCUGUGUGACACCAAAUACUGUACGUCUAUUAGCUAUCGCAACAGUGUCCAUCUGCUUGACCAUUCCCGAGAUCUUUAUGGGGAACAAAGUUUUAGUCUUUGCAUCUGGAUCGUAUGAUGAUAUUAUAUCACUGCCAUAUUCUUACCAAAUUUGUUUGAGGAAUGUUUAAUCAACUACUCGAACAAGCAGUAAGUUCUUACGUGGCUUAACAUUAGUUGAACAGUUGAGCUGCUUUUCAUCGCCUUUUUUCGAAAAAAAAUAGUUAAUCAAACACAAACACAAAUACGUUUUGUAAAAGAAGAUCUGAAGCUGCUGCUGCUUGACUUUUCGGAGGUCGGAACAGGGCCCCUGAAGAAAGCAUCGAUGGCCGCGGCAAUGCCUGCCAGCCUGCCAAUGGCUGCCUGUUCAAAGUAAAAAAUAUACACAAUUGUCAUCUGGUAUCAAGAAAAAUGCAGCGUUGCUUUUAUGUCUGCCGAGUCAAAUAGUGUCGUCUCCAAUUGAGUGGAACUGGAGUGACUCAAGCUGCAGUGGCGACAUAAGAUUCCGCAUCGC
Molecule: long non-coding RNA, 2313 nt
Organism: Gasterosteus aculeatus (three-spined stickleback)
Lineage: Eukaryota; Metazoa; Chordata; Actinopteri; Perciformes; Gasterosteidae
Source: Ensembl